AGAGUUUGAUCCUGGCUCAGAUUGAACGCUGGCGGCAGGCCUAACACAUGCAAGUCGAGCGGUAACAGGAAUUAGCUUGCUAAUUUGCUGACGAGCGGCGGACGGGUGAGUAAUGCCUGGGAAUAUGCCUUGAUGUGGGGGAUAACUAUUGGAAACGAUAGCUAAUACCGCAUAAUGUCCCGGUUUAUAAUGAACUGGGACCAAAGAGGGGGAUCUUCGGACCUCUCGCGUCAAGAUUAGCCCAGGUGGGAUUAGCUAGUUGGUGGGGUAAUGGCUCACCAAGGCGACGAUCCCUAGCUGGUUUGAGAGGAUGAUCAGCCACACUGGAACUGAGACACGGUCCAGACUCCUACGGGAGGCAGCAGUGGGGAAUAUUGCACAAUGGGGGAAACCCUGAUGCAGCCAUGCCGCGUGUAUGAAGAAGGCCUUCGGGUUGUAAAGUACUUUCAGUUGUGAGGAAGGCGGUAACGUUAAUAGCGUUGCCGUUUGACGUUAGCAACAGAAGAGGCACCGGCUAACCCCGUGCCAGCAGCCGCGGUAAUAC
This 544-nucleotide ribosomal RNA is filed under the name Photobacterium sp. RNAcentral describes it as "bacterial SSU rRNA". It matches the Rfam family "Bacterial small subunit ribosomal RNA", at positions 8 to 526 of the family's 1533-position model. Lineage: Bacteria; Pseudomonadati; Pseudomonadota; Gammaproteobacteria; Vibrionales; Vibrionaceae. The record is from RNAcentral.